GGCAUGACUUUAGGAAUUCUUUGUAAGUCUAGCUUAUAAAGAAAAAUCCCUUGGCUUGAAAUUUUCUAAAAUUAGACUCAAGGAAGUUAGAUAAAAGUAUAUUUGAGAUAAAUGAAUCUGUUCCAAAUUUUUCAAAGCUGCAUCAAUAUAGCACGGUUCAAGCUAUCCACAAAUAUUAUUUAUAUGCCACUGGCAAGGGGCUGUGAUCAAUGUCUGUUUCUUGAAGGCAGAAGUGUGACCCAAAAGCUUCUUAACCAAAUAAGACAUUUAUGUUUUCUAACAUCAAAUUUGCCCGUAUGUUAUCAAGAUGAAUCCAAGGAUUGCUACAAACCAUAUGAACCCCUAAAGGGAAGCUUUCUUACUUCCCCAAAGGAAGAUGCUACAGCAACUUUCAUCACUGCCCAAAGACAGUUGUUUGAGCUGAUGCUGACCACGGCAUGCAAGGUACCUUGCUCGGCAGUGACUAAUCAGGUUCCCACAGGACUCUGUGGUGUAGUGGGCUCCAGAGGAAGUCAAUGGCAAUGAAUCACAGUGCUCAGGAAUGAAAAAUACAGCUGUGAUUCACAUUAACUCAAAGAAAAGGUUGAGGGGAAACAAACCUAAAAAUUAAAACCACACACACGCACGCAUCAGCAAAUACCACGCUGAGCAUGUCAGUGUAGCUUCUGCUUUUGAAAAGUCCAAAGAAGAAAAAGAAAAGCAACUUUUCAAAACAAAGCCUAAUAAAUCUAUUCAUAGCAAGAUUGAACUUGUAUAAUGCAAAAUGUAGUUCCAUAAAAGGAAAUAAAUUACUUUCAGUGAACUUGGGUUUUGUUAUAAGAAAAAGGGAGCCAAUGUAUUGUUUUUGGCCUAAUUUCAAAUAUUCCUAUGUAUACCUUCUUUAAUUUUUAUUGACUACUAUCAAACUUUUAAAUUUUAGCUUUUGCUUCAAUUACUUUAUCUUUGUAAACAGAAUUCGUGCCUCAUUAUAGGCCUUCUCUUAACUAGCAUAAAUUGCUUUCUCAAUAAUGAAUUAUCUAGGAACACAAAAUAAGAAAGUGCAAGUUGGAUUCAUUGUUGUUAGACUCACUAAGCAAUUAAAAAAUAAAUAAAAAAACCACAAACCUCAAGGUUAUUAGGACUGAUCACUUUGAAACCUGCUGGAAAUACUGCAGAAAGUCAUAGAGCUCAGAGCCAGUUAAUAAUCCAUACAGAUACAAAUUGGAGUUUCUUUGUUGGUGCUUAAAUGGAUGACUAUUACAUGACCAAGUUUAUAAAACAUAAAAUGAAGUUAAUAUUUGGAUAAGAUGUGGUUUAUUCUAGCACCAGAAAUGGCCAAGUGGAUUUUAAAAUCAGUGUAGACGAGGGCUGGGCAUGAUGGCUCACACUUGUAAUCCUGAGACUUUUUGGGAGGCUGAGGUGGGAGGAUCACUUGAGGCCAGGAGUUCAAGACCAGAUUGAGCAACAUAUCAAGACCAUGUCUCUACCAAAAAAAAAAAAAAA
Molecule: long non-coding RNA, 1482 nt
Filed under: Macaca fascicularis (crab-eating macaque)
Lineage: Eukaryota; Metazoa; Chordata; Mammalia; Primates; Cercopithecidae
Description: lncRNA (ENSMFAG00000055565.1)
Source: RNAcentral